UAUAAGUUGAGUAUAUGUCCACAAAUUUUGAACCGUUAAAAAUGAGCGUAUGAUUUGUUAUGAAUUUUAAGAGGUGGCUGAUUCAGAAAUCAGGUUAUAAAUCAUUUUGGUGGAAAAUUCUAGAAUUGGUGAGCCCCACUCUUGGUUGGUGAAGAAAUGUGCUGAGAUUUUUAUUCAAAUGUGGUGGGUGAGAAUAGUAGCAGGUAAAGCCAUCAGGUUGCAAGUUAAGUCUGCUUCGGCGUGCUAACAUUUUCCUAUAAAUAGAGGGCUAAGUUAGAAUUGAAAAUCACACCAGAAACAAG
RNAcentral lists this long non-coding RNA (302 nucleotides) under Panax ginseng (ginseng). RNAcentral's name for it is "long non-coding RNA (PGIN_LNC002398)". Lineage: Eukaryota; Viridiplantae; Streptophyta; Magnoliopsida; Apiales; Araliaceae. The record is from RNAcentral.